GAACGCUGGCGGCGUGCUUAACACAUGCAAGUCGAACGGACGAUGAAGAGCUUGCUCUUCAGAGUUAGUGGCGGACGGGUGAGUAACGCGUGGGUAACCUGCCUCAUACAGGGGGAUAGCAGCUGGAAACGGCUGAUAAAACCGCAUAAGCGCACAGCAUCGCAUGAUGCAGUGUGAAAAACUCCGGUGGUACAAGAUGGUCCCGCGUCUGAUUAGCUUGUUGGCGGGGUAAUGGCCCACCAAGGCGACGAUCAGUAGCCGACCUGAGAGGGUGACCGGCCACAUUGGGACUGAGACACGGCCCAAACUCCUACGGGAGGCAGCAGUGGGGAAUAUUGCACAAUGGAGGAAACUCUGAUGCAGCGACGCCGCGUGAGCGAUGAAGUAUUUCGGUAUGUAAAGCUCUAUCAGCAGGGAAGAUAAUGACGGUACCUGAGUAAGAAGCUCCGGCUAAAUACGUG
RNAcentral lists this ribosomal RNA (461 nucleotides) under uncultured bacterium. Its description in RNAcentral is "bacterial SSU rRNA". It matches the Rfam family "Bacterial small subunit ribosomal RNA", at positions 31 to 507 of the family's 1533-position model. The record is from RNAcentral.